This 451-nucleotide ribosomal RNA is filed under the name uncultured organism. RNAcentral describes it as "partial 16S ribosomal RNA". It matches the Rfam family "Bacterial small subunit ribosomal RNA", at positions 333 to 800 of the family's 1533-position model. The record is from RNAcentral.
ACACUCCUACGGGAGGCAGCAGUGGGGAAUAUUGGACAAUGGGCGCAAGCCUGAUCCAGCCAUGCCGCGUGAGUGAUGAAGGCCCUAGGGUUGUAAAGCUCUUUCACCGGUGAAGAUAAUGACGGUAACCGGAGAAGAAGCCCCGGCUAACUUCGUGCCAGCAGCCGCGGUAAUACGAAGGGGGCUAGCGUUGUUCGGAUUUACUGGGCGUAAAGCGCACGUAGGCGGACUAUUAAGUCAGGGGUGAAAUCCCGGGGCUCAACCCCGGAACUGCCUUUGAUACUGGUAGUCUUGAGUUCGAGAGAGGUGAGUGGAAUUCCGAGUGCAGAGGUGAAAUUCGUAGAUAUUCGGAGGAACACCAGUGGCGAAGGCGGCUCACUGGCUCGAUACUGACGCUGAGGUGCGAAAGCGUGGGGAGCAAACAGGAUUAGAAACCCUUGUAGUCCCAUGA